UACGGAGGGUGCAAGCGAUGUUCGGCUUCAUUGGGCGUAAAGCGAGUGUAGGCGGUUUUACAAGUCGGAUGUGAAAUCCCGGGGCCCAACCCCGGAACUGCACCCGAUACUGUCUGGCUAGAGUCCCGGAGAGGGUGGCGGAAUUCCCGGUGUAGGGGUGAAAUCCGUAGAUAUCGGGAGGAACACCAGUGGCGAAGGCGGCCACCUGGACGGUGACUGACGCUGAGACUCGAAAGCGUGGGUAGCAAACAGG
This 253-nucleotide ribosomal RNA is filed under the name uncultured bacterium. RNAcentral describes it as "partial 16S ribosomal RNA". It matches the Rfam family "Bacterial small subunit ribosomal RNA", at positions 524 to 776 of the family's 1533-position model. The record is from RNAcentral.